GGGCGAUUAGCUCAGCUGGAUAGAGCACCAGCCUCCGAAGCUGGGGGUCAUGCGUUCGAAUCGCAUAUCGCCCA
This 74-nucleotide transfer RNA is filed under the name Pseudomonadota bacterium. Its description in RNAcentral is "Proteobacteria bacterium tRNA-Arg". It matches the Rfam family "tRNA". Rfam says of the family: Transfer RNA (tRNA) molecules are approximately 80 nucleotides in length. Their secondary structure includes four short double-helical elements and three loops (D, anti-codon, and T loops). The record is from RNAcentral. RNAcentral also lists the same sequence under 2 other names. Lineage: Bacteria; Pseudomonadati; Pseudomonadota.